RNAcentral lists this long non-coding RNA (221 nucleotides) under Elaeis guineensis (African oil palm). Its description in RNAcentral is "long non-coding RNA (EGUI_LNC043037)". Lineage: Eukaryota; Viridiplantae; Streptophyta; Magnoliopsida; Arecales; Arecaceae. The record is from RNAcentral.
GUACUCUAAUGUGGGCAUAUUUUGCAUUAUAAGAAAGAAGUGAAAAAGAAGAGAAAGUGGCUCAUACAAGGCAUUAUUUUGAAAUUUUUCAAGUAGAGACCCAUGCAAAUCAGCGUUCAAGAUCACACCAGCCUCAAAUCCCUCAAGAUCAUGAUUUCGGUGGUGCAUAUCUCUCUGCAUGUUCAUGCCAGCUUAUUCUCUAAAUCAAAUAAGAGCCAGUC